Molecule: ribosomal RNA, 325 nt
Filed under: uncultured eukaryote
Lineage: Eukaryota
Description: partial 18S ribosomal RNA
Rfam family: Eukaryotic small subunit ribosomal RNA
Source: RNAcentral
CCCUUAGAUGUUCUGGGCCGCACGCGCGCUACACUGAUGCAUUCAACGAGCCUAUCCUUGACCGACAGGUCCGGGUAAUCUUUGAAUCUGCAUCGUGACGGGGAUAGAUUAUUGCAAUUAUUAAUCUUCAACGAGGAAUGCCUAGUAGGCGCAAGUCAUCUGCUUGUGUCGAUUACGUCCCUGCCCUUUGUACACACCGCCUGUCGCUCCUACCGAUUGGGUGUGCUGGUGAAAUGUUCGGAUCGGCCGUUUGUCGCGGUUUCCGCGUCAUGUGGCUGAGAAGUUCAUUAAACCCUCCCACCUAGAGGAAGGAGAAGUCGUAACA